This 70-nucleotide non-coding RNA is filed under the name Sphingobacteriales bacterium. Its description in RNAcentral is "Fluoride sequence". It matches the Rfam family "Fluoride riboswitch aptamer (crcB RNA motif)". Lineage: Bacteria; Pseudomonadati; Bacteroidota; Sphingobacteriia; Sphingobacteriales. The record is from RNAcentral.
UUGCUAAAAGGAAAUGGUGUCUUCCUAAUUGAACCGCUCAUCUUUUUGGGCUGAUGGCGCCUGCAGGUUA